CCCCAGCGGGCUUGGCCCCGCGCUGGGAGACCAGAGACUCGAGACCCGGCUUGAGCCAGGAACAAGCCAUGCUGGUAGGAAAGAAGACCGCAUCUCCUCAGGCAGCUGGACCCCAUCUUGAGAGGAUACACCUGUGACCUGAGGCUGCCUGCCAAAACUACUAGCCGAGACCGGGGUCUGGAGGAGGAAGUGGUUCUGGAGCUGCUGGGGCUGUGGACGUUCCUCAGCAAGGCUUGGGGCAGCUUUGCCUCCUUAACUCCUUGACCUUGCUGAGGAAGAAGAGAUGACCAAUUCCCAGGAGCCUGUUACGUUCAAGGAUGUGGCCAUGGACUUCACCGAGGAGGAGUUGGGGCAGCUGGACCCCACACAAAGGGCCCUGUACAAAGAGGUGAUACUGGAGAUCUAUGGCAACCUGGUCUCAGUGGGUGAGGACAACUGCUCUUUGGAGAAUUUUUGUUCCCUUGGUUGUUGAAAGCUGUGAGCUCUUAAAGUGUUUAACUAGGAAAGAAACUUUAUGACUGUGCCGAGUGUGGCAAGAGCUUCAGUCAGAGCACAGACCUUCACAUCCACCAGAGAGUCCACAUGAGAGAGAAACCUUUCACGUGUGAUACAUGCAGUAAAGGCUUCAGUUAUAACACGAAUCUUCACGUGCAUCAGAGGGUCCACACAGGAGAGAAACCUUUUAAGUGCGAGGAGUGUGGCAAGGGCUUCCGUCAGAGCCCCAACCUUCGCAUCCACUGGAGAGUCCACACUGGAGCAAAACCGUACAAAUGUGAGAAGUGUUGUGAGAGCUUCAGACAGAACGUAGACCUCCAAGAGCAUCAGAGGGUCCACACAAGAGAAACCGUUUCAAUGUGAAACCCUUAAAGCACAAGCUUCUGUGCUCAUCAGAAAGUCCACACAGGAGAGAAACCUGUAGGUGUGAGGAGCGUGGGAAGGAUUUCGAUCACAGUGAAUCUUCACUUUCUCCAGAGAAUGAAACUGUAAAUGUGAUGGGUGUGUGAUAAGGGUUUCUUCAGUUAGAGCUUAGAUCUUCAAGUUUAUCUAAGAAUUAAUACAGGAGAAAACCCAUUUAUAUGUGCUAAGUGUAGUAAGGGCUUUGGAAAGAGCGCUAACCUUGAGUUCCAUAAGUCCCCACAGGAGAGCAAUGUUACAAAUGUGCAAGUGUGGUAAAGGGUUUCUUUGGAACACAGAGCUUCUCUGCAGAGCAUCUACGCAGGGGAGAAACCAUUGAUUUCAGUGUCUGUGGUUGGGGCUUCUGUUACAGCACAAACCUUCAUGCACAUCAGAGUCCACGCGGGGUAGAGACCCUGUGCGCGUGAGAAGCGAGUCAGGCCUUCACCUCCAUCUGACUCCACGUGGGAGAAAACCCUGCAGGUGUAGGUGUGUGCAUAUCUCCCCCUUCCCCAGAGAGCCUGUUUCUACCAUGAUUCUGGCAGCUCCAAGAGAGGGCAGCUGCGUGUGCUUUGCUCGCCAUUGUGUCCCCAGCUCCUGGCACAGUGCCUGGCAGGAGUAGUCACCUAGUAAAUAUUUGUUGAAUGAGAAUCCAUGUGGGAGAGAACCCCUAUUUGUGUGAUAGUGGGGUAAGGACUUCAAGGUCAACAUGUUGAAGCCUUUUUAGAAAGUGUGUUCACAGUCAGAUCAUGGGUUUUGUCAUGAGUUAAUCCCUGCAGGAGAGAAAUCCUGUGAACCUGAUGAUUAUACUAAUGGACUUAGAGAUAAAUGAUCAAAUUAUUAAAUCGGUGCAGUAAAUUUAAAAAUACAUGUCUUCAGCAUAAGAAUCCACACCCCCAAAACUAUAUCAGCUAGGAAAAUACUUUCGUCAAAACUCAUACACUAGAAUGUGUAUCUAUUCAGGAAAAAAAAAUCCUAUGUGUACCCUAAUGAAGUUAUGUGUCAGGCUCUGGACUGACCACCUCCACAUAAGGUGGACUCCGCCAGUAUCUGGUAGCAGUAGCUCUUCUUUUGUUUUAUAUUUCAUCUCAAAGAGGUUUAUGUUAGACAUAACCAAUGAGUUAUCCAGGGCCAAAGAUUAACAUGGUCUUCCUUUUGGGAGAGACGCCCCUUACCUGGAAAGUGCCCUUCUAGACUGGAAGCCUCCUGGCCCUGAUUGAGUGUCUCCCUGCCCAUCAUGUCAUCAGGCUGCUGGGAGCUUCGCACCAUGGAUUAUAGAAAUCCCCAGGUGAGGCAUCUUCAGGGUAAGUGUCUAUAGAAGAGAUAGCUAAAAAAAAGGGGGCUGGGUCAGGGUUUACAGAGGGGAGUUAGAGGAGAGGAAAGUAAGUCUGAAAGGGUAGGGAAUGGUUAGAGGGAAAAGGAAAAGAACAGUGCCUGGGAGGUAGUUGGGGGGGUUGAUGGGGGUGGGAAGCCCCAAGGCUUCUCCUAAGUCUCUAGCAAGUGUCUCGACCUCCAGUACAGGGCUCUCCUUGGAGAUCUAUGUUGACCAGAGUGUGGUCUGUAGUGGGUAGAGAUGGACCCCAGUGGCAUCAGGGCCAAUUGGGACCAGAGGUGGAAGAGCUGCUGUGAGGGGCCUUGGAAGGCAACUCUAUGCCCCGUCAUUUCCCCACGUGGCCCAAGUCAGGUGGGACCAUUAUUCCUCCAAUAGAAGGAAGGAUCAUAUAUGCAGGCUAUAAUAAGCUUGACCCCCUUCAGGAGGCAUAAAUUAACUAGAGAACAGCCUGGGGGUCUGGCAAUGAAAAGGGAAGACCUGGACCAGUAGAGGUUAUGAAAAGGUCAGUGACCCAGUGUCAUCUCUAAAUCUGGGUAGGGAACAGAGAAAGUUGGUCAACAUUUCCACUGAGUCCUUCACCUAAGAGCAAUGUGUUUUUUACUUAAUUUCUUUGUGCUUCAAUUUCUCCAUCUGUAAAAGAGAGAUGAUAGUAUUAUUUACUUCAUGGGAUUGUUAUUAGGAUCAAAUGAAUUAAUAUUUGUAGAAUGAGUAAAAUAGUGCCAGGCACAUACUAAGCCUUAUAAAAGUAUUUCUUAUGUAAGUAAAAUAAAUGAAUCCUUCAGUAGUUUUUCAGCAAGUAUGUCUGAGCGUAGUAAAUUCUUUAUUUCUCCCUUGUGAAUUAUAGCAUAGCUGGGUAUAGAAUUCUAAAUUGGCAUUUAAUUUUUCUCAAUAAUUCCUUAACCUCUCGUGCUGCUAUUAAAAGUCUGUUAUUAGUCUAAUUAUUGUUUCUUUUGAGACAGCCUGACUUUUCUCUCUGGUUAGUUUUAAAAUUAGAAUUUGCAAAAUCCUGAAAAGCAGAAGCAUGUUCUGCCAUUUUACUAAAUGUAUAUAGGAGUGGGUUUACUUAUAUUUUCCCUAAUCAAGAUAGUAGCAUGUAAAAUAGCUUUUACAUGCUAUUUUCUCUUUUGUUAAUUUUUCAUUCUUUAUUAUAUCCUUCUACUUCUAUUAGGUGUAUCUUUUUUUUUUUUUCUAGCGUCUUGAGUUACAUGGUUAGAGUUUAUUUAUUUUUAGCCUUUCUUGUUUUCUAAUAAAUGCAUUUCAGUGCAUUUAUUAGAAAUUAAAUUUCCCUUGAAUACUUUGGCAGCAUCCCUCGCAGGAUGCAAUUUGGCAGUAUGUAUCAAAAGCCUUUAAAAUGUUUAUGCCAAUUGACUGAGAAAUUUUACAUCUAAGAAUCUGUGUUAAGGGAAUAAUCAAAUAAAUUAUGUGUAAAAGGUACACAUUACCAUGUGUUAUUUCUACAUUUUUUAAAAGAAGGAAAGGAUUACUUUACAAUCCAGAGGAUAUCAUAAUGUAUCAUAGUAUAUCUCUAUGAUGCAGUAUUCUCCAACAAGAAAAGUGAUGUUUUUGAAUCAUUUUUAAUGACUUAGGAAAAUUUGCAUAAUAUAGCAGAUAUAAAGACACAUACAUAGAGGAAAAAACUGGAAAGAAAUAUACUAAUAUAUUAAUAGUGUCAAUGGAUGAUUUUUAUUUUCUAUUUUAUGUUUUUCAGGAUUUUGCAAGCAGUCUCUAAUGCUUCCCAAUCCCUACUGACAACAGUAUUAACUCUUCUAAUUACAAAAUGAUACAUGCCUAUUGUAAAAUAUGAAAACAUUAUGAAACAAAAGUAAGUGUAACUGGUUUAAUCAUGGAGUGUCAACUCAGUGGGGUAUAUAAGAUCAUGAAAUGGUUCUUUUUUCCCCCCAGGCUCUGCCUUCAUCCAUGUUCUGUUGAAUCCUCAUGAAUGAAUGAAUGAAUGAAUGAGUGAGUACUGAGUGGGAAAGAGACAUUGAGGGAGGGCUUUAGGAAAGAGGAAGGCUUUCCCUCACCAAUUCCCUGAAGAAGAAUACAAACUGGAUAAAAGAUUACAACUGGUGAAAAUAUUUCCAAUCCAUAUCACAGACAAAGAGAUUCAUCUGCCUAUUUAUCAAGAGCUCUUAGAAAUCAAGAAGAAAAAGCACAGGGACUUCCCUGGUGGUGCAGUGGUUAAGAAUCCGCCUGCCAAUGCAGGGGACACGGGUUUGAGCCCUGGUCCAGGAAGAUCCCACAUGCUGCAGAGCAACUAAACCCGUGCGCCACAACUACUGAUCCUGCACUCUAGAGCCUGCGGGCCACAACUACUAAAGCCCAUGUACCUAGAGCCCGUGCUCCACCACAAGAGAAGCCACCGCAAUGAGAAGCCCGCGAACCUUAACGAAGAGUAGUCCCCACUCGCCACAACUAGAGAAAGCCCCCACGCAGCAACAAAGACCCAAGGCAGCCAAAAUUUAAUUAAUUAAUUAAGAAGAAAAAGCACACAAAAAAAUGUGAAGAGACUGUUCAGACAUAAUACAAAUGGCCCUUAAAUGUAUGGAAGGAUGACAGACUUUUCUCAUAAUAUGAGAAAUGCACAUCAAAACCAUGCUGAGAUACCAUUUCUCACCUAUGGGAUUAGCAAAAAAUUGAAAAUUAAAAAAAAAACAACUGUUGUUAAUGAGGCAUACAGAAGUAGGCAUUUUCAUACAUUGCCGUGGGGCUUGCAAAAUGGAACAACUCCUAUGGAGAAGAAUUUGACAAUAUCUACCAACACUGUAGAUACAUUUGCCUUUUGAUGCAGAUAUUCUAUUUCUGAGACUCUAUCCCACAGAUACACUUGUACAUAUGCUUCGCAAAUAUUUGGCAUUGUUUCCAAUAGUAAAAAAUAGAAAACAACACAAAUGUCCACCAACAGAGAACUGGUUUAAUAAACUAUAUCCACACAGUGGAAUGGUAUGCAGCUGUAAUAAAAAGUAAGGAAAAUUUCCUUGUUGAAAUGGAAAUACCUCCAAGAUAUAUUAUUAAAUGAAAAAUGCAAGGUGAAGAACAAUGUGUAUAUGUGUAUAUAAAUAUAUAUUUUAUAGAAAUAUAUAUAUAAUGAAUUUUAUGUAAGAAGGAGAAUGAGAAUAUAUAUCCAUAUUUGCUUAUAUUUGCAUAAUGUCACACUGGAAGGAUAAACAAGGGACUAAUAAAAUAAUUGUCUGGGAGGACAGGAGUGAGAGUGAGGAUUUCCUGUACUUUUUUUCUUUUCGUAUUCUUAAUGUAGUUUUUUUUUAAUUAAUUAAUUAAUUUAUUUAUUUUUGGCUGCAUUGGGUCUUCGUUGCUGCAUGUGGGCUUUCUCUAGUUGCGACGAGCGGAGGCUACUCUCCAUUGCGGUGCGCAGGCUUCUUAUUGUGAUGGCUUCUCUUGUUGCAGAGCACGGGCUCUAGGUGCACAGGCUUCAGUAGUUGUGGCAUGCGGGCUCAGUAGUUGUGGCACGCGGGCUCAGUAGUUGUGGCACAUGUGCUUAGUUGUUCCUCAGCAUGUGGGAUCUUCCCAGACCAGGGCUUGAACCCAUGUUCCCUGCAUUGACAGGUGGAUUCUUAACCACUGUGCAACCAGGGAAGCCCCUUAAUGUAGUUUUGAUUUGAACAUUCUACCUAUUUUUAAAAUAACGCUGAAUGAGAUCCAAUGUCAUUUUGGCAUUUAUUGAUAUUAUAAUAUUGGU
RNA transcript from Balaenoptera acutorostrata (minke whale), 5924 nucleotides. It is a transcript of the gene named zinc finger protein 239-like, with no coding region annotated. NCBI's taxonomy places the organism in Eukaryota, Metazoa, Chordata, Mammalia, Artiodactyla, Balaenopteridae. The record is from RefSeq and is a predicted model, not a curated record. The transcript is spliced from 5 exons.